CUUUUCCUUUGUAUCUUUAUUUUCUCCCUUUUCUUUUUCUUAAAUGUGAACUGAAGAGAAUUCAGAACUUUUUUUUUUUUUAACCGGGGAUUGAACUCAGGGGCACUUGACCAUUGGGCCACAUCCUCAGCCCUAUUUUGUAUUUUAUUUAGAGACAGGGUCUCACUGAGUUGCUCAGCACCUCGCUUUUGCUGAGGCUGGCUUUGAACUUUCGAUCCUCCUGCCUCAGCCUCCUUCAGAUCUGAGGUUCUAAAAGAAGUUUUGGUUAAAUGUUGGUGACUCAUACCCUACUGAAGAUUUUAAUUUUGGGUGAAGACUAACAUUCUGCUGUAGUGUAGCCUGUGUUAAUCCAGCAAAGUUUACUACAUAAUCCUGGAACUGAUUCCAGAUGUUAUCUUGGCUUCAUUACUUCCUCACUUCUUGGCUUCACAUCUUUCUGUAGGUGAAUUAUUUUUUAAUAAUUUUUUAAUUUGUUCUAAUUAGUUAUACAUGAAAGUAGAAUGCAUUUUGACACAUCAUACAUAAAUGGAGUAUAACUUCUUGUUCAUCUGGUUGUACAUAUAAUCAUAUGUGCACAUAGGGUAAUGUGUGAUUUAUUCUACUGUCAUUCCUACCCCAAUGCCCACUCCCCCCCUUUCACUUCCCUCUGUCUAGUCCAAAAUACCUUUAUUUUCACCACCCCCGCCCAUUGUAAAUUAGCAUCUGCAUAUCAGAGAAAACAUUCAGCCCUUGGUUCUUUGGGAUUGGCUUAUUUCUUUUAGCAUGGUAUUCUCCAGUUCCACCCAUUAUGGUAAAUGCCAUAAUUUCAUUUUUCUUCAAGGCUGAGUAAUAUUCCAUUGUGUAUAUAUAUCACAUUUUCUUUACCCACUCAUCUACUGAAGGGCAUCUAGGUUGGUUCCAUAGUUUAGUUAUUGUGAAUUGAGCUGCUAUAAACAUUGAUUUGGCUGUGUCACUGUAGUAUGCUGAUUUUUAGUCCUUUGGGUAUAAACCAAGGAGUGGAAUAGCUGGGUCAAAUGGUGGUUCCAUUCCAGGUUUUCUGAGGAAUCUCCAUAGUGCUUUCCAGAUUGGUAGCACCAAUUUGCAGUUUCUGUGGGUGAAUUAUUAAGCAUUCUGUGCCUCAAUUUCCUGACCUACAAAACAAAAUUAAAAUAAUAUCUCAAUAGGGUACCAUGAACAUUAUAUUAUGUGAUUUACAUAAAUGUUAAGCACUUUGAACUACACACAUAGUGCUCCAAAAAGUGAGCUUUAUUUAUUAUGACAUAGAACUUUUAUUGCAAAUAUUAAAUAUUCCUGUGUUACCAGAUCUUGAAGUAUGUAUGGGAACCUGUAGGGGAUGGAGAGGGGAUUUCUUGGACAUCCUUUUCAGGGGUGAAGCCAAAAACUAUUUCUUAAUACUAAGAGGUUAUUUGCCUUUUUCUUUCUUUCUCAAGGAGAUGCAGUAGUUUCUCAGAGCUAUUAAAAAAUGGAUAAUAUUACUAUAUAUAAGCAGCUAGAUGACCCAGUUGUCUUCUAUUAAGCUGGACAUUAGAAACUUCCCACUAAAUUUUUCAUUUUCAAAGU
Molecule: long non-coding RNA, 1560 nt
Filed under: Marmota monax (woodchuck)
Lineage: Eukaryota; Metazoa; Chordata; Mammalia; Rodentia; Sciuridae
Source: RNAcentral